Molecule: transfer RNA, 85 nt
Filed under: Felis catus (domestic cat)
Lineage: Eukaryota; Metazoa; Chordata; Mammalia; Carnivora; Felidae
Rfam family: tRNA
About the family: Transfer RNA (tRNA) molecules are approximately 80 nucleotides in length. Their secondary structure includes four short double-helical elements and three loops (D, anti-codon, and T loops). Further hydrogen bonds mediate the characteristic L-shaped molecular structure. tRNAs have two regions of fundamental functional importance: the anti-codon, which is responsible for specific mRNA codon recognition, and the 3' end, to which the tRNAs corresponding amino acid is attached (by aminoacyl-tRNA synthetases). tRNAs cope with the degeneracy of the genetic code in two manners: having more than one tRNA (with a specific anti-codon) for a particular amino acid; and 'wobble' base-pairing, i.e. permitting non-standard base-pairing at the 3rd anti-codon position.
Source: Rfam by way of RNAcentral
GCCUGGGUGGCUCAGUCAGUUGAGUGUCUGACUUCGGCUCAGGUCAUGAUCUCACAAUUGGUGGGUUCGAGCCCCACAUCAGGCU